UACGUAGGGGGCAAGCGUUGUCCGGAAUUAUUGGGCGUAAAGAGCGUGUAGGCGGUCCGGUAAGUCAGCUGUGAAAGUCAAGGGCUCAACCCUUGAAUGCCGGUUGAUACUGUCGGGCUAGAGUCCGGAAGAGGCGAGUGGAAUUCCUGGUGUAGCGGUGAAAUGCGCAGAUAUCAGGAGGAACACCAAUUGCGAAGGCAGCUCGCUGGGACGUAACUGACGCUGAGACGCGAAAGCGUGGGGAGCAAACAGG
This 253-nucleotide ribosomal RNA is filed under the name uncultured bacterium. RNAcentral's name for it is "partial 16S ribosomal RNA". It matches the Rfam family "Bacterial small subunit ribosomal RNA", at positions 524 to 776 of the family's 1533-position model. The record is from RNAcentral.